GGCACACUCUCUUGACCCCUCGCAGCUCUCACUCUCUCCCAGUCCCUCAAACUCAAAGCCAGUGCUGAAUUCAGAUCAAUUCAUGUAACGGUCUUCUCAUUUACCCUUGCACGGAGGUUAGCUGCUCUCUCUCCCAAAUAGCGGCCUUUGCUUCCUCUUUCACAGCAGCCGAACCUCACGCGGGACUGAUAUCGUAGUGAUCUUACCCACUAAGUCUGAAGGUUGGCCUCACUAUAUUCCCAGUGCAAUUUAGUUGGGUUUUUGGAAAAUCUAAUAGUGUUGGAGAAGGUUUCAGCAAGAGGAUACUUCUUAAACGUGUAGCAAUUGAGCAAGCCAAAUUUAAAGUAAUGGAGAAGAAGUACAAAGGAACCUUGAAGUUGUUGUUGUCAUUGUUUAUUUUUAUGCUUAUGAACAUGUGGUGGUGAAUGUAAUGGACAUGUAGAUUAUGAUGUGGGAAUGUAAUGUACAUAUUUUUAGACAUGUUAUAAAAAUGUAAGCUAUAGAUGUUUCGAACACAAUCUGGACAAGCAAAGC
Molecule: long non-coding RNA, 534 nt
Organism: Juglans microcarpa x Juglans regia
Lineage: Eukaryota; Viridiplantae; Streptophyta; Magnoliopsida; Fagales; Juglandaceae
Exons: 2
Source: RefSeq, a predicted model, not a curated record